UGCAGAGUAGAACAUUAUGCGUUAAGUGCCGUAUGAACAGGGAGUUGUCAUAUGGACGAAAAGCAUCCGAAAGGUUUCGCUUGCGGUAUAAGGUUCGCAUCCCGCUGCU
Regulatory RNA element from Roseburia sp. CAG:100, 109 nucleotides. It matches the Rfam family "THF (Tetrahydrofolate) riboswitch aptamer". From Rfam's summary of the family: THF riboswitch presents a pseudoknot that joins P1-P2 and the loop of P3 and two THF binding. NCBI's taxonomy places the organism in Bacteria, Bacillati, Bacillota, Clostridia, Lachnospirales, Lachnospiraceae. The record is from Rfam.